UCAGCAGCCGCGGUAAUACAGAGGGUGCAAGCGUUGCUCGGAUUUACUGGGCGUAAAGCGUACGCAGACGGCAAGGUAGGUCGAAUGUGAAAGCCCCGGGCUCAACCCGGGAAUUGCAUCCGAAACCCCCUUGCUCGAGUAUGGGAGAGGGAAGCGGAAUUCCUGGUGUAGAGGUGAAAUUCGUAGAUAUCAGGAGGAACAUCAGCGGCGAAGGCGGCUUCCUGGCCCAUUACUGACGUUCAGGUACGAAAGCGUGGGUAGCAAACAGGAUUAGAUACCCUGGUAGUCCACGCUGUAAACGAUGUGUGCUGGGUGUCGGGGGUAUCAACUCCCUCGGUAUCGAAGUUAACGCGAUAAGCACACCGCCUGGGGAGUACGGCCGCAAGGUUGAAACUUAAAGGAAUUGGCGGGGGAC
This 415-nucleotide ribosomal RNA is filed under the name uncultured bacterium. RNAcentral's name for it is "bacterial SSU rRNA". It matches the Rfam family "Bacterial small subunit ribosomal RNA", at positions 508 to 921 of the family's 1533-position model. The record is from RNAcentral.